Pipistrellus kuhlii (Kuhl's pipistrelle) is the source of this 828-nucleotide RNA transcript. It is a transcript of the gene named defender against cell death 1, with no coding region annotated. The record is from RefSeq and is a predicted model, not a curated record. The transcript is spliced from 4 exons. Lineage: Eukaryota; Metazoa; Chordata; Mammalia; Chiroptera; Vespertilionidae.
UUGCGCACGCGCGAACGCUAUAUCCGGUGUGGUGGUCGUUUCCUCUCGGAGUUUGGCGAGAGCGGACCGACGUUAUCGAUCUCGUAGUCAUGUCGGCCUCGGUAGUGUCGGUCAUCUCGCGGUUCUUAGAAGAAUACUUGAGCACCACGCCUCAGCGUCUGAAGCUGCUGGACGCGUAUCUCCUGUAUAUACUGCUGACCGGGGCGCUGCAGUUCGGUUAUUGUCUCCUCGUGGGGACCUUUCCCUUCAACUCUUUCCUCUCGGGCUUCAUCUCUUGUGUGGGGAGCUUCAUCCUAGCGGUUUGUCUGAGAAUACAGAUCAACCCACAGAACAAAGCAGAUUUCCAAGGCAUCUCCCCAGAACGAGCCUUUGCUGAUUUUCUCUUCGCCAGCACCAUCCUGCACCUUGUUGUCAUGAACUUCGUUGGAUGAAUCAUUUCUCUUUGCUUAAUUGAGGAGUGGGAGACUAGAAGAAGUUAUCACCAGGCUUGCAGGACUCAUAUCCACUCCUCAAACACUUUCACACACCUCACAGCCCAUUCUCUGAUGGAGAUAGACAAAUAGUAGUCUUCCUCUUUACACAUGAGGUUCACUUUUUUAUAUCCCCUGGAGAAGAGCUCUUGAGAUGGCAGCUUGUUGGACACUUGGAUGUUCUUCAGGUUUAUGCUGACUACUGGCUCAGAUUCGGUGUGCUGGUGGAGAGCCAGAGAAGUUCCCUCGUUUCUGUGUCAAAACAACUUUGUACUGAGCAUUUAUUUACAUGACCUCUUCUCCUUUGCGUUGUGUAACCUUUUUGCUUCCAAAUUAAACUCCAUGCCACUCCUCUCUA